AGACAUCGCUGCGGCCGGGAUAGGGCGCCGCCGUUCUGGCCGGCUUUCUCGGUGCCCUGGAGGACCUGGCCGGCUCCGCGGGAAGCUGUACUCAGAGCGCGCGGCCGCCCUCUGGCAGGGAGGAGUUCGUUGCACUUUUGAGGGUUCUUCACGAAGACAUCCAAUACAUAGAAAACAAGUAACAGCAACAGUAACGAAUUUUUAAAUAUUAAAAUUGCUGGGGAACACGACGGAUCCUGCAGCUGCUCGGCUGUCCCGGUCGUCAGUGACGCUAGGGCUCCGCACCGUACCCUGCAUACCGUAGGUGCUCACGAAACGUUCGUGAGUUCCCUGCUCUGAGGAAACAAGCUUAAAAACUCAGAAUCUAAGGUGUGAGUCUCCGCAAACCUGCUUGUUGGGCAGCGUCCCCCGCCCGGGCUAGCCCUGCACGCCCCACCCCGGAGCCACGCUUCUCCAGCCGGGACCCCUGCCUCCUUCCAGGCUAUUCUCGGAACCGCAGCCAGAGGGAAUUUUUUUUUCCUUUCCUGAAACGUAGAGCAGAUCUGGUUACUCUUCUGCACAACGCCCUAAAAUCUAGGGCCCUUCCCAUCCCUCAGAAUUUACAUCUAAUUCUCAGCUCCCCUCCGGCUUGCUGUAGCCAUCCUGGCUUUUGUUUAGCACAGCACUUACUGUUAGUGACAUUAUAUUGUAUAUUAUUAACAUAUUUGUGUUUUACAUCCCUCACUAGACCCCCAGGAAAGAGGCUUUGAUGUGUUGCCUGCUGCAAGGCUGGCUGCAUAAUUUGUGGAGCUCAGAGAAAAGUGCGGAGCUUCCUUGUUCAAAAAACAGAAAGAAAGUGCCUCUGAGGUCAUAAAAUAUAAAACUUUCUCUUUCCUCUCAGUUUCUCUCUUUUCAUAGUGUUUUUAUGUGUUAUUUAAUAUCAUUCCAAGAAAAAUUUAGAUUUAAAUUGUUAGCAUGAAGUUCACCAUCCAUCUUUACGUUGUGCAAUGCCAGUUUUAAAUACUAAUAUAAGUGCACUGAUCUCAUAUGUGGAAUCACAGAAAUUAUGCAAUUUGUACUUCAUAGCUUAUACAUGCAUAUAGAUUUUGUUUUUACCAGAACCACGCUGGUAAAAACAGAUGCUGCACAAAGUGAACUUGCCCGUUUUCAUCGCACUUUACGUGCACGAAUUCUACCUCUACUCUCGACCUGGGACUCACCGAUGCGUAAGGAAGGACUGAAAAGCAAAAGAACUAUGGACUGGCCUUUUGGCAUGAUCAGGUGUCUAAUAUAAAGAAGUGCAUGAAUAAGAAAAUAUAUGAUAUGAGUGAUGGUUAAUACUGACUGUCAACUUGAUUGGAUUGAAGGAUGCAAAGUAUUGAUCCUGGGUGUGUCUGUGAGGGUGUUGCCAAAGGAGAUUAACAUUUGAGUCAGUGGGCUGGGAAAGUUCGACCCACUGUUAAUCUAGAUGGACACCAUCUAAUCAGAUGCCAGUGCAGCUAGAAAUGUAAAGCAGACAGAAAAAUGCGAAAAGAGAGACUGGCCUAGCCUGCCAGCCUACAUCUUUCUCCCACGCUGGAUGCUUCCUGCCCUCGAACAUCAGACUCCAAGUUCUUCAGUUUGGGACUUGGACUGGCUCUCCUUGUUCCUCAGCUUGAAGACUGCCCAUUGUGGGACUUGUGAUCAUGAUAACAGAAGUUCAAGAGGAAAGGACAGUGAGAGACCAUGACUAAAGAAUUACUCCGUGAACAACUCAGGAGGACCAGCUAUGAUUUCACUCUCAUUCAAAAAAGAGAAAUAAUAUUUCUUUCAGCUGCUACCCAUAAAAUAUUUUUGAAUGUGUGUACAAUGUUCAUGCUGUAAUGGCUGCUCUAUCAUGAAGGAUGUGUUGACACCUCGUGGGUGGCUUUUCACAAUCCCCUUGGACACAGAUUGGGGGAUUGACGGCCCCAUCCCCUCAUUUUCCACACCGAGGGGCAGUUGGGAUAUGCAUAAAAUCUUGUUCUCUAGUUAGGACCUGUUGCUAUAAAUCUAGCAUCAAGAGUAUCACUAUUUUCUAAACACUUUGCCAGACAGCCUUCGGAGUAUAAUUUUCUGAAGUUUAUAAAGCAUAACUCAUACACACACCUAGUGACCAUGUUCUGAAGGUAUAUUUAACUCCUGCAUGAGGGAACAGGCAGGAUGAAAGUGGGUUCUAAGGAAGAGACUAGCAUAUAUGAUCAACGGGGAAAAAUGAAGAGUAAGCUUGAAACCGCCUUUGCAAAAAUUAUAACCGAGGAGAUUAUGACAGUGAAGGAGAUCAGACCUAACCGACCCCAUCUUGCUUCUAACCUUUAAGCUGUCCUUGUUCAUUCCUGGGUGUAGGCCGAACUAACUUUGGGAAGGAAUUUGUUCGUGGUUUGACUCUGAAACAAAAAAAUUGAUAAUAGCCCUUUCCCGAAAAGACCGCCUUCUUGCCUGGGGACCAGUCUGCCUUUGCAGGACCAACAAAUUAACUACGAGAUUAGAAAUUACAGUUUAGGGGUCCUGCAGCCUCUGACUCCAAGAGUCUGACCCUCCCCACAUUGCUUCUGGGGAUAACAUCACUAUUAUAAAACCUAAGAUCAGUGCUUGAGAUAUUUUGCAGACCCUGCACUGGAUGGAUCAGCUGACACCACCCAGACCCGUAAUCUGGAUCAACCAGUUCUGCCAUCCCACCCAGGAACAGAAGAUGCAAGAAAAACUCACUUUGACCCUCUAUGAUUCCAUCUCCAACCUGACCAAUCAGUACUCCCCACUUCCCAAGCCCCUGCCUGCCAAAUUAUCUUUAAAAACUCUGAUCCCCGAAUGCUUGGAGAGGCUGAUUUGAGUAACAACACAACUCUGGUCUCCUGCACAGCCAGUUCUGUGUGAACUACCCUUCGCCCAUUGCAAUUCCCCUGUCUUGAUAAAUUGGCUCUGUCGAGGCAGUGGGCAAGGUGAACCCACUGGGCAGUUACAAGACUGCAAAGUUAGAAACAAAACUGGCAAUGCCCCAUGGGUCAAAAAUAAUCAAUUAAUUCAUAACAUUUGACUUGAUUAAGUUUUCUACUGGACAGAAACAAUUUGCAACUUAUCCUUCCUCUACAUUGUUUGACUGCCAUGUCAAUUGUAAGUAUUAGAUCAAAUUUUAAAAUAAUUAUUUUAGAGCUUCAGAUGCACCUUACAUGGGCUUGUUAGAUUGUUAGACACUGCUUAGUGACAUUGAAAGAGGGCACAAUACUUUUUUUGCCUUAUUUCUAAGUUGUGGGUAUCCUUUUCUUAACACUUCUUUUCUGUGAUUCUAUGCAAGACAAUCGUUGAUGAAAUGGGAUUUUCUGGAUGGAAAGUCCGUGUACUUUACUGAAACCUCUUUCUACAGUUCUGUCUUUCAAGUGGGAUUCUGUGAGCUGACUCAUGACAGCUGAGCAUCAUCGGAGAUUGGCUUCAAUGGUCCUCAAUGUGCAGAACAUAAAUAGCAAUUUCUACCAUCAUUCAAUAGCAUUUGUGGGUCCUUUUAUAUGGAGUAUAUAAAAGUAUUUGCAGGUCUUGGUUUAUCUGUCCCCACGUGACAUACCUAUAGAACAGGUAUUUUCAUCCCAGCUACUUAUUAUAAAUAUUUAAUAAGUAGGCUAAUGGUUUGGAAUUCUAUUUCUCUAUUUGCAUGAGUCAAAUAAUAGACCAAAUUCUUUCAAAAAGAGGAGAUGUUAACAUACCAAAAGAAACUGAAACAAGAGCAUUGAACCCACGGUGCCCUUCAGAAACACCUGCCAACAAUGGGGCAGAGUGUCCAGCUGCCUGGACAGUGUGUGCAGGGGCGGGGCCCUUCCUGUUCACAAUGGCUUUGCCUGGCAGUUAAAAUGCAAAUGGAGGGCAGACUGAGAGUGCAUCACCCUCUCACAUCUCAGAGUCUAAAAGGCGGCCUUUCAGUGCCUUCUGUUCAAAUUGCAAAUGCUCUUCCUUUAUCCCCCAAGGCCUGGGAGACAGUUCUGAAUAAUUCUUCCCCAACAAAUUGGCUUUCCUCUUCCCAGCAACAAAAGCCCUUAUUGGUUUUAAAAGUGCAAAGAACAAAUUUUAUUCAAGGGUCUUAAGGCAGAUGAAGGUUCACAGAAACUACAAGGGCAGUUCCAGGGCCUCCACGUACGACCGUGUCCCUAUAACGACUGGUCCUUAUAAGAGGCCAGCAACAGUAUCUUAUUUUCCUGUACAGGCCUGGGAUUCCCAGUAAUUUCUUUGCAUUGGCUUUGUAAGCACAAUUACCCAGAGUUUCCGAGAAUUGGGACAUUUCCAAGAAAUUGCCCAAUGGGUCAGUGGAGUGCUGUCAAAUGAGAUGGACCAUCUUAAAAUCAAAACGUGGGUGGUUUCUGCUCAUUGCUGAGCAUUUCACUUCCAUUCUGAAAAGUCUAAGAACGUCACUCCAGGAGAUACAAUGUCAAGGGCUCCCGCCACUCUUCAUCAUUGCCCAAGUCAUAAGAAUCAUCCCCCAAAUUCCUUCUAUUUCUCCAAGGUAGGGUAACCCAGGGCUGGGUAAGCCUGUUAGGGCAGGUCAGGUUGGCACAUACCGAGGAGGAACUCAGACAGACAGACAGCGCCAGGGGACCAGCGGCACUGUGUGCUCAUCACCACCCUCAGGGAUUCAAGGGCCUUGUCCUGGUACCUGGGUCACCUUCUGAAAUAAGUGCUACUGAGGUUCAUGGCCAAGACCCUUCCAGGAAAUUCAGAAGGAGGUUGGCUUCAGUGGGAAAGUAGUCUGUGACCCAGAAGGUGUUUAUUCAACAAGGUGCAAGCUGACAACAUGUUUCUUUGCUCUGGACACUGGAAUUAAACUCCUAAGAGACCCUA
RNAcentral lists this long non-coding RNA (4818 nucleotides) under Homo sapiens (human). Its description in RNAcentral is "COPS8 divergent transcript, transcript variant 8 (COPS8-DT)". Lineage: Eukaryota; Metazoa; Chordata; Mammalia; Primates; Hominidae. The record is from RNAcentral.